Homo sapiens (human) is the source of this 45-nucleotide regulatory RNA element. It matches the Rfam family "Histone 3' UTR stem-loop". Rfam says of the family: The mRNAs of metazoan histone genes lack a poly-A tail. The record is from Rfam. Lineage: Eukaryota; Metazoa; Chordata; Mammalia; Primates; Hominidae.
CCAAAGGCUCUUUUCAGAGCCACCCACACGAUCAAGAAAGGGUUU